GCUACUUCUUAACCAUAAAAUACUUGCACAAAUAGCUAUAUCAAAUAUGAAUUGUGUCUAUAUGAUUUCCAAUGAAAUGGGUACGACUACUAGUGUUAUCUUGAAAUAACGGCGUGGGUUGGUCAUUGUAAAACGUGGCAGGCAAUGCACCUUUUCUCAGUACAGUGUACUAGAUUUUACCCUGUUUGAUAUUCUCUUUACAGCUGCUUGGUGGUUGAUUUCUUCCUCCUGUUGUUCCCUUGAAGAUCUAUUGUCUCAGAGCCGAGGGUCUCCCGGAAACAGCCUCUCUACCCCUCCGGGAUAGGGGUAAGGAGGUUUUCUUACUGCCAUUUUAGCUCAGCUUAAGUUUAUUUUGCCUAAGCCAUUGAGAUAAAGAUGAUUCUCAAGUAUGAUGAGCUCACUUAUUGGGUAUGAAGCUUGAUCUUUAUAUAACUUUAAAUGCCAAUGCAAAUUGGUAGCAGUGAGAAGUGGAAAUCUAACAGUAGCAGUGUUAUGUUGAGGAAAGUUUUCCACUCUCGGCUCUUGCAUUUCUUCAAAUCCCACCCUGGGACUUCUUCAAUGGGUUAAGGGCACGAGUAUACGAUGAUGAGGUGACGAAAUGAGUUUCAGGAAUUGGGGACAAAUUUCUGAGCUCUUAUAAUGAACCCCCGACUUUUGAGCAACCAAAAAUGACUACUGAGAAACUCCUUGAGUAUGGUAACAUGCUUGUUCAAGAAAAAUACUAAGAGUUUACAUUUGCACAUUGGAAAUCUCUGAAAACCUUUAUAACAGUAGUUGUCCCUUAAUCAAAAUGAUUGAUUAAGUGUAAGUUUUAUUUCAUUAUGAAAAAGAACUUGCCCAACGUGUAUGUGGUUUAUAACUCACUCGAGGGUAGAAUCAGGAAUCCCCUUAUUCCUCUUGUGCGCGCGCGGGGUGUGCGCGCGCGCGCGUUUAAUGAUUUUAACUACUGCUUGCACCAUGUGAGUUCAUUGUAGGAACUGCAAUAUUAGAAUUCAAACUCUCUCUCCAAGAUAAGAUAGGAUUUAGUUUAUCGUGCAUUUUAUCCCUUUAGCUCAAUGGAUUUUUUCAAAGUAAGCUGAGAUAUCCAUUAUAAACUAAAUUUGUAUCAUAUGUUUGAAAAUAUAUGUUCUAUGUUUUAUACAAUUAUUCAUUUGAUAUGCUUUAUGCAUAAUAAAUUGUUUCCAGUACCAUUAUAUUCA
Long non-coding RNA from Nicotiana attenuata, 1199 nucleotides. RefSeq lists it as uncharacterized. The record is from RefSeq and is a predicted model, not a curated record. NCBI's taxonomy places the organism in Eukaryota, Viridiplantae, Streptophyta, Magnoliopsida, Solanales, Solanaceae. The transcript is spliced from 4 exons.